This 257-nucleotide ribosomal RNA is filed under the name Staphylococcus sp. KT11. RNAcentral describes it as "partial 16S ribosomal RNA". It matches the Rfam family "Bacterial small subunit ribosomal RNA", at positions 92 to 343 of the family's 1533-position model. Lineage: Bacteria; Bacillati; Bacillota; Bacilli; Caryophanales; Staphylococcaceae. The record is from RNAcentral.
UUAGCGGCGGACGGGUGAGUAACACGUAGGUAACCUACCUAUAAGACUGGGAUAACUUCGGGAAACCGGAGCUAAUACCGGAUAAUAUUUCGAACCGCAUGGUUCGAUAGUGAAAGAUGGCUUUGCUAUCACUUAUAGAUGGACCUGCGCCGUAUUAGCUAGUUGGUAAGGUAACGGCUUACCAAGGCAACGAUACGUAGCCGACCUGAGAGGGUGAUCGGCCACACUGGAACUGAGACACGGUCCAGACUCCUACG